This 72-nucleotide transfer RNA is filed under the name Fervidobacterium sp. Its description in RNAcentral is "tRNA-Glu". It matches the Rfam family "tRNA". From Rfam's summary of the family: Transfer RNA (tRNA) molecules are approximately 80 nucleotides in length. Their secondary structure includes four short double-helical elements and three loops (D, anti-codon, and T loops). Further hydrogen bonds mediate the characteristic L-shaped molecular structure. tRNAs have two regions of fundamental functional importance: the anti-codon, which is responsible for specific mRNA codon recognition, and the 3' end, to which the tRNAs corresponding amino acid is attached (by aminoacyl-tRNA synthetases). tRNAs cope with the degeneracy of the genetic code in two manners: having more than one tRNA (with a specific anti-codon) for a particular amino acid; and 'wobble' base-pairing, i.e. permitting non-standard base-pairing at the 3rd anti-codon position. The record is from RNAcentral. Lineage: Bacteria; Thermotogati; Thermotogota; Thermotogae; Thermotogales; Fervidobacteriaceae.
GGAGCAUUUGUGAAGUGGUAAUCACGACUGGUUUUCAGCCAGUAAUCAGCAGUUCGAUUCUGCUAUGCUCUA